This 62-nucleotide transfer RNA is filed under the name Mus musculus (house mouse). It matches the Rfam family "tRNA". Rfam says of the family: Transfer RNA (tRNA) molecules are approximately 80 nucleotides in length. Their secondary structure includes four short double-helical elements and three loops (D, anti-codon, and T loops). The record is from Rfam by way of RNAcentral. Lineage: Eukaryota; Metazoa; Chordata; Mammalia; Rodentia; Muridae.
GGGCAUGUAGCUCAGUGGUAGAGCAUUUACCUAGUGUCCAAAAGGCUCAAGUCCCAUGCCCA